This 670-nucleotide ribosomal RNA is filed under the name Semiclaviger sikorae. RNAcentral's name for it is "partial 28S ribosomal RNA". The record is from RNAcentral. Lineage: Eukaryota; Metazoa; Arthropoda; Insecta; Coleoptera; Staphylinidae.
ACCGACUUCCAUGGUCACCGUCCUGCUGUCUUUAGUUACUAACGCCUUUUGUGGGGUCCGAUAUGCGUUGAUUUUGGCACUUUAACUUUACGACCGGUUCAUCCCGCAUCGCCAGUUCUGCUUACCAAAAAUGGCCCACUGAAGGCCCUUACUAUCUAUCCACUUGCUACGUAGUACGCUAGCUUAGUGGAAAACACACACAUUAACAGUUUGAGAAUAGGUUGAGAACGUUUCGAACCCAACGACUCUAAUCAUUCGCUUUACCGCAUGUGACUAUCUAUUUACUAGACCUCAGCUAUCCUUAGGGAAACUUCGAAAGGAACCAGCUACUAGAUGGUUCGAUUGGUCUUGCGCCCCUAUACACAGUUCUGAUGAUCGAUUUGCACGUCAGAACCAUUGCGGACCUCCACCAGAGUUUCCCCUGGCUUCAUCCUUUCCAUGCAUAGUUCACCAUCUUUCGGGUUCCAGAGCACGAGCUACGAGUACGGCAGCGCCAUUGCUGACGCAUAAUUGCCAUCUCCGAUUUGCCUAGGCGCCAUUAAUAAUAAUAUAACGUCUCAUCAUACAAACAUACGAGCCGCCGAAGCGACCCUCAAUUGCUUUCGUUAAGUUUGACGGAUUCUAUAAAAUGAACCUUUGCGUCACGCUCGUUCGCUGGACUCCUUGGUCC